CCUACGGGAGGCAGCAGUGGGGGAUAUUGCACAAUGGGGGAAACCCUGAUGCAGCGACGCCGCGUGUGGGAAGACGGUCCUCUGGAUUGUAAACCACUGUCCCCAGGGACGAAGAUGACGGUACCUGGGGAGGAAGCUCCGGCUAACUACGUGCCAGCAGCCGCGGUAAUACGUAGGGAGCGAGAGUUGUCCGGAAUUACUGGGGGAAAAGGGAGCGUAGGCGGGACUGCAAGUUGGGUGUCAAAUCUACCGGCUCAACCGGUAGCCGCACUCAAAACUGCAGUUCUUGAGUGAAGUAGAGGCAGGCGGAAUUCCUAGUGUAGCGGUGAAAUGCGUAGAUAUUAGGAGGAACACCAGUGGCGAAGGCGGCCUGCUGGGCUUUUACUGACGCUGAGGCUCGAAAGUGUGGGGAGCAAACAGGAUUAGAUACCCCAGUAGUC
Molecule: ribosomal RNA, 440 nt
Filed under: uncultured bacterium
Lineage: Bacteria
Description: partial 16S ribosomal RNA
Rfam family: Bacterial small subunit ribosomal RNA
Source: RNAcentral